Long non-coding RNA from Papaver somniferum (opium poppy), 1238 nucleotides. RefSeq lists it as uncharacterized. Lineage: Eukaryota; Viridiplantae; Streptophyta; Magnoliopsida; Ranunculales; Papaveraceae. The transcript has 2 exons. The record is from RefSeq and is a predicted model, not a curated record.
ACCGAACUCUCUCACAAAAAAAAAAAAAAAAAACUAGAAAACCCUCUCACCAUGUCUGCAACUCUUCUACAUCUGAAUCUCUCAAACUAUGAAAUAACUCAUCAGAAAACCCUAAACUCUCGAACUCUUAAAACCCUAACUCUCAAACUCUUCAGAAAACCCUAACAAACUAUUCACCUCACAGAUCCCACCAAGGAUUAAUCUCUGGAACUCUCGAAUCUCACCAGAAAUUCACCUCACAGAUCUCACCAAGGGGUGAUAUGAAUGGUUAUGGAUAUGAAGUGCUGGUGGCGAUUGAAGCAACCUGGUGGUAGUGGUUGAAGGCUGUAGAGAUGUUGUCGUUGUUUAAUGAAGACAGAAGAGAUGUUAUCGGAUGGCUGCCAAUGUAAAGCUAAACCUGUAAAUGUUGAACAUUUGAAUGUAAAGCUGUUAACAGAGCUACAUAGCCUACAUUUUUCAGACAAAGUCGGGGCUAUAGCUCAGUUUGCUUGAAGAAGGUCAGAUUCACUCCAUUUCCUCUCCAAGAGGUACUAUUGCUCUUUCCCACAUUUUCAUGUGCUCUGAUGUCAUUAUGAUAUUUUGUAGAGGUACUAAAAAAGAUGUUAGUAGCCUAAUGAAUUUAUUGAACUACAAAAAUGGAGCUAGCGAUCUCAAAUAUUCACAAUGCAGUGGAUGAAAGCUGGGAUAUCCCAGAUUGUAUGCCAGAGUUGGACAAACUGUUGCAACAAUAUAUCCAGGAGGUUCAGUUCGCUGUGCAUAUGGAGGACAGGUUAAUUUGGACUUAAAGCAAUACAGGUGAAGGUACUACAAAGACAGCUUAUGAAUACUGCAGACCUGAAAAGCCAGCUGACAUUAACUUGUCGAAAUUGUAGGAUCCCAGAACGCCUCAGAGAAGAGCCUGGACUGGGUAGAAGUUGUUACAUAAUCCAGUGCCAUUUAGGGCUUUUUUUAUACUCUGGUUGAAUGUUGUAAAGGAUAUAGAGGUCUGGGGGCUGAUUUAGAUUUGUUAGUUUGUGUGUUGUCAGUUUUGCAUUGUGAUAUUGAAUUUCUUAAUGAAGAGUAGAAUGAGUUUGUUAGGUCUGUGGUAUCCUUAGAAUUUUUUGAAAGAGUUGGUAGAUUGGUAAAACUUCUCCUUAGAGUCUUUUAAAAGAGUUGAUAGAUUGGUUACUGUUUUUUUUUUCUUGAUUGUGAAAUUCCUAGAAAAGUUAAGUUGAAAAGGUUUUUGAGAUUCUGUCAAA